UAAGGUGCGAAGUACCCUAACAAACUUUUAAUACCCUAAUUUGUAUAUUUCGAUAAUAUUGAAUUAAAUAAUCCUUUGGGAGCAUAUUCCACUACCCAUACACCAUUACAAAGCAUUUGAAGUGAGUGUGAAGAACGAGGAAGGAAAUUCUGUGGUCAACGUUAACAGUCUGAUUGGGCCAUAUACAUAUGUAUAGGGAAAUAUAUAGUACGAAUAAACGAGUUAUAUACAUAGCAGUUAGAAUCUAAAAUGCCAACAGGUGGUCCCGAGUUGGAGGAUAUUCUUCAAAAAUGGAAUAUUAUCCAUUUACCUCCUAUUUCAAAAGAUGAGAAUAUAAAUAUAAAAGUUUUGAAAAUUAUAAAUUGCAAAGAUUUAGAUGAACUUACCAAAAGAUUUUAAUUAGGGGACCGAGUCCUUUUCCAACAUUCAAAAAUGGAGAAAAGAAAUUGGUAAUCCUAUCAAAAUAAAAAAUUCCGGGACUUAACAAACAUUCCCUCAACCUCGCGUAAUUCAAGUAGCUCUUCAGCUAACUUUUCUCAGGAACCCUAAUGGAACGCUUUGGCAACAAUAGUGAUUUGAGUUAUGAACCAAUUUGAACCAAAAUAAAAUUGGAAAAACCAAAACCAGGACAUCUGACCAACCAAGGAAAUUUAUGAGUAACAACCAUUGUAAACUAAUGAGAUGCACAUGCAGGAGAGCAAUCACAUGGAAAAUUAAAUAAUUGCUAUGUUCCCAAAGGAAAAACUUUAUUCUUAACGCACUCACAGACGUGGAAAACUAUACACAAAAUAUAACAAUAUGAAGAGAAACCAAUAUGCGUACGAUAUUAAAAUCAGCUAAUAAUAUUGGUAGAUAGGUACAUUAGAAGUGAAUAUGCAUAGUUUAAAAUAUGUAAAAAUAGUUUGAGAAGAAAAUGCUAAAGAAAUUAUUCAUAGUUGAACUAUUUUUACAAAUGUGGCAAUCCAGCUCUAACUACAGAAUUAGUCGAAUUAAUCUUAAAGAUAUAUUUAAGGCCUGACCGCAGUACAAGAAUACUCAUGGACCAAAACUGUAUUGCAGAAGAAAUAUACUCCAAUUUUUGAAUCGGAAAGUAAAUUAAUGGAUGUAUAUAAUUUGGUAAAGAACGAAAACUUUAUUAAAGUCUCUGGGAUAAAAACAAUCUUCAAUAAAAUGGAUCCAACAAAUUCGGCUUCCAACGUCAUUAUUUAUAAUGCAGUUGACGUGGCGCCUUCACGGAUUUCUAUAUCCAACUUCCAAGUACAUCAAAAGAGAUAAAUAUUGUAAAAACUAACUAUGGAAAUAUACAAUAAGGAAUUCGCAGAAUUCGUCAAUAUUUAUCGCACAAAAUAUUCAAGAAGUUAACAACCUCUUGAAAUUUCUGGAGAAAUGAAAAUAGAAUAGUCAACCAUUUAUCUUUGAUAUGGGAGAUAUCAAUUUGGCUGGUACCAACAACGACAACUGGUCUAUUUAAAUCGAACUUUGAUGCAAUUAAAUGAUUUUCAGAUCAUGUUUUGAAAGCUUUGAAAGAAAAUCGAACUUUGAUGCAAUUAAAUGAUUUUCAGAUCAUGUUUUGAAAGCUUUUUUAAUCAAUUUAGAAUUUCCAGGCGCAAUUUACCAAGUUUGGCUGUUUAUUCAAAAAUAUUUUCAUAACAUAAGAU
This is a long non-coding RNA of Stomoxys calcitrans (stable fly), 1658 nucleotides long. RefSeq lists it as uncharacterized. Lineage: Eukaryota; Metazoa; Arthropoda; Insecta; Diptera; Muscidae. The transcript is spliced from 5 exons. The record is from RefSeq and is a predicted model, not a curated record.